Molecule: transfer RNA, 72 nt
Filed under: Trichonephila inaurata madagascariensis
Lineage: Eukaryota; Metazoa; Arthropoda; Arachnida; Araneae; Nephilidae
Rfam family: tRNA
About the family: Transfer RNA (tRNA) molecules are approximately 80 nucleotides in length.
Source: Rfam by way of RNAcentral
CGGGGUAUAGCUCAAUGGUACAGCAUUCGGCUGCAGAUUGAGAGGUCUCCGGUUCAAACCCGGGUGUCCCCU